UUAUAUUAAGUACAAUUAUAUCCAAGAUGGAUUUAGACCUGAUUAAUAUUUAUUUUUCUUAAUCAUGCUUCUUAUAAAAGCAUUUGAUAUCCAAGAAUGAAAUAAUAUCUUGAUCAUUUACCAAACCACAAAGAUAUCAAUAUUCUUUUCUUAAAUAAACAACGUAAAACUAUAAAAAUUAGAUAAGAUUGAAUUGAUUUAGUGUCAAGGAAUUAUUAUGAUUUUGUUAAAGCAGCGUUUUCAUGUUGAGUGAACAUUAAUUCCUCUUUGGCAGGAAGCUAUACUUGGAAAACAAUAGCAUAUUGCCAAUUCAGUGAUGUAUGACUGUUGUGCACUUAACUUGUUUAGUUUGAGUGACAUUCCUUAUGCAUUUGAUAGACUUUCAAACAUAGCCCCUCCUGGUUUGACUAACAUUAGGGGCUUAAACAGUAUUUAGCAUAAAUUAUAAGGAGAAUUUUAUUCUCAACAUUUUCGAUCGGCGAUUAUUUCGAAGCUAAUUUUGGUCUUCAUCGAAAUUAACGAUCGUUGAUCGCCGAUGAUCAGUGCCUGAAACGUGAAAAAGGAUGACUUGCAUGUUGAGAAUCUAAAGCAAAGACCUUCUUUAAUGCAUUAGAGGUAAUGUUCUUUUUUCCGACCUCUGUUAUUGAUCUAAGAUUACAAUAUAUACGAACUGUUAUUAUUAUUAUUAUUUUAUCUAUUUUUUAAUUUUGAAUAUUACAAAUAAAACAAGUUUAAAACCUAUAAUAAUUUUGUGACGUUCAUAAAAUGUAUUUUUAUAACUUUAUCUAGGAGUUCUUUUUUCUUAUUUUGGGUUAAAAGUAUGAAAGGGAACGAGAUAUCUCAAUUUAUAAAAACAACUUCUUGUCCCCUAUUACUAUUGUAUGGGAACAAAACACAUUUAUGGUCAGUCAAGUUAUGCUUUCGACUGAAUUUUAUCCUAAAUUGUUAAUUGAACAAUCUAAAUAUAUUUUCUUUAAAGAAUUUCCUUUGAUUAUUUGAUUUUAAAAAUAAUUGGUUGUUGUAUUUAACGAAGUCGUUACCAAAUAUGUCUUAGGUGGCGUUUGUUUUUUUUGUCUAAAAUUUUAAUAGAUCUAAAUUUGUCUGAAUUCUAAAUAGGGCUGAAUGUCUAAAUCUGAAUAAUAUGUUUGUUUUUUUGGUUUGA
RNAcentral lists this long non-coding RNA (1162 nucleotides) under Citrus x clementina. Its description in RNAcentral is "Citrus clementina (C. clementina) long non-coding RNA (CCLE_LNC003964)". Lineage: Eukaryota; Viridiplantae; Streptophyta; Magnoliopsida; Sapindales; Rutaceae. The record is from RNAcentral.